UGGCUCAGUUGGUAGAGCAUGGCGUUUCCAACGCCAGCAUGGUGUGUGCAAUGCCAGGGUUGUGGGUUCGAUUCCUAC
This is a non-coding RNA of Salmo salar (Atlantic salmon), 78 nucleotides long. NCBI's taxonomy places the organism in Eukaryota, Metazoa, Chordata, Actinopteri, Salmoniformes, Salmonidae. The record is from Rfam.